UACGUAGGGGGCAAGCGUUGUCCGGAUUUAUUGGGCGUAAAGAGCGUGUAGGCGGCCAAGCAGGUCCGCUGUGAAAACUCGAGGCUCAACCUCGAGACGUCGGUGGAAACCGUUUGGCUAGAGUCCGGAAGAGGAGAGUGGAAUUCCCGGUGUAGCGGUGAAAUGCGCAGAUAUCAGGAGGAACACCGGUGGCGAAGGCGGGUCUCUGGGCCGAUACUGACGCUGAGGAGCGAAAGCGUGGGGAGCGAACAGG
RNAcentral lists this ribosomal RNA (253 nucleotides) under uncultured bacterium. RNAcentral's name for it is "partial 16S ribosomal RNA". It matches the Rfam family "Bacterial small subunit ribosomal RNA", at positions 524 to 776 of the family's 1533-position model. The record is from RNAcentral.